Molecule: ribosomal RNA, 491 nt
Filed under: uncultured bacterium
Lineage: Bacteria
Description: partial 16S ribosomal RNA
Rfam family: Bacterial small subunit ribosomal RNA
Source: RNAcentral
AGUGAACGCUGGCGGUAGGCCUAACACAUGCAAGUCGAACGGCAGCACAGUAAGAGCUUGCUCUUACGGGUGGCGAGUGGCGGACGGGUGAGGAAUACAUCGGAAUCUACUUUUUCGUGGGGGAUAACGUAGGGAAACUUACGCUAAUACCGCAUACGACCUACGGGUGAAAGCAGGGGAUCUUCGGACCUUGCGCGAUUGAAUGAGCCGAUGUCGGAUUAGCUAGUUGGCGGGGUAAAGGCCCACCAAGGCGACGAUCCGUAGCUGGUCUGAGAGGAUGAUCAGCCACACUGGAACUGAGACACGGUCCAGACUCCUACGGGAGGCAGCAGUGGGGAAUAUUGGACAAUGGGCGCAAGCCUGAUCCAGCCAUACCGCGUGGGUGAAGAAGGCCUUCGGGUUGUAAAGCCCUUUUGUUGGGAAAGAAAAGCAGCAGGUUAAUACCCCGCUGUUCUGACGGUACCCACAGAAUAAGCACCGGCUAACUUCGU